AACUUCAAACAAUCAAACCUAUCUUUUUCUCGCCCCCGUCCGAUAAAAAUCCUUUUCACAAAUGGACAUUGUUUAGUCCUUUCUAAUGCGUACACAAACUAGCGCUUAAGUCUCUCAUGCGCGAGCAUACAAUUAAAUAUUUAAACUGCUAGAAUGCGACCAAACGAGAUCCCUUCUACUGCAAAAGAAACAAACACUAAGUCCCCCCAUCCGUGAGCAAACAAGUUAAUGUUUAAACUGUUACAAUGCGACCUAAAUAUUUGUCCUCUAAAAUCAAUCAAUCAACACUCUUUUGCUACCCCGAACUACGAAGCUUUGAGUUCCUCAUUGUACUCGAGGAUACGUAGGAGCAAGACUCACAAUUUUGUCAAACAUUAUAAUAAAAAUAUUUUUGCGACCCCUUUUAUUUUACACUUUCAAUAACUCGAAGAAAAUAAUUAACAUAAGCCAACAUUCAAUCGCGAAUUUAACUAAAAGGUUCACGUUGAGUACAACAGACGUGAGUGGUGCUAAUACCUUCCCCUUGUGUAAUCUACUCCCGAAUUCGAAUUUGUUUGUGACAGUCAUUUUCCUUUUUUUAAGGUUUUAUCAAUAUUUUCCUAUUCCUUCAUUAAAAUAAAUAAAGUUCAGUGGUGACUCUGUUCGAAUCAUUUUUUCUGUGACUUCGCGAAGGAUCAUAUUUUUUGAGAUGCGACACACCCAACCUCCAAACACUCAACUUUGCAACCAAUAGAUGCCACACACCCAAACAAAAUACCAAGAGUAUGACCCAUGACACCAAUAACCACAUGCUCCCACCACAUAUUACUAUAGCCUCAAUGAUUCAUUUGAUUCCAUAAUAUCCCACCAUAGCCCCCCACCAAUGAACACCCAAACAUCCCACCACCAAAGCAUCCAACCACAAUAUGACUUUGUUACACCACAAGAAUCAUUGCUUCGUUUCUAAAACGAUUUAAUGUCAUGAUUCAACCAACCAUAUCGUCCACUCAUAACCCAACCACAACGACCCAACUACGACAACAUAACCACCAAACUAAAUUACGGCAGUACCGUUGACGGUAACCCUCAACUAUUGAGAAGAAAUGAUGACAAAUAUGUCAAAUACUCCAGGACCCUCACAUCAACCACCUUUUCCUCAACCAACAUUCAAAGACCCUAAACACCUCAAAGAAAUCGUGAGAGACCUCGAAGACAGACUAAUGCACCAGGAUGUGGAACCUGAGGAUGUUUCAAUCGGGCGAAUCAUUUUAUGUAUUUGAAUUUUAUAAGGUAAUAUCAUGGAUUAUUUUUAAUUUUCUUCUUUAUUUCAAAUUUUUUAAAUUAUAAUUAAAAAAAGUUAAAAAAUAAAUAAAGGAGUAACCACAUGCAAUGACACAUGCUCCUAAUGGAUGCAUGCAUGCGCCACUUAAAGUGAUAUGUUUUCAAUGCUGUCACCAUCAUCAUCGGUGCCUUAGUGUAUAAGAAUAAUCUAUCUGUCAUUUCUCCUGACUAUUUUUUUUGAAAAAUAGUUAUUUUGAUAAAUAAUUUAAAAAUAUAAUUGUUUUAGUGUUUAAUUUAAAAAUAGUAGUUAUUUUAAAAAAAAUUCAAAAAUUGAUGUAAAUACGUGUGAUUAAAUUUUAUUGACUGAACAUAAAAAAAAUCUAUUUAUUGAAUUUAGCGAAUGAAUAUAAAGUUUAAUUGAAAUACACUGACAGUGUAAAAUGAUUUUACAUCGUCAGUUAAUAAUAGAGGUUGAAUAUUAAAAUAAAUUUAAUUUUUAUUUUAAAAAUCUAUAAAGUAAUACAAACAAGAAAAAUGAUGAUGAUGAAUUGAUAGAGUAAAACUUUAUAACUUAAAGACAAUAGUAAUUACUCUCAUGAAUAUUUCGUCCCAUAUAAAAAACGAUGAUAUUUGUCAUUUUUGUUAUUUUUCCCUCAACUCACAAACCGUUAAAAAAAUAAUAAAAUAAUUGAAAAGAGAAAUAAUCAUGAUAUAUUUAUAAAUUCAUUAGUUAAUUUGUAGCAUUUCUGAAAUUAUUAGAUCGAAGAAGCUCCUUCCGACAAAGAAAGGUUCGCAUCAUAUUCACAAAUUUCUACUCUUUUUCUUUCUUUUCGUUUUUCUCUCAUCCAGAUCUAUAAAUUAUCAUGAAUUUGAGAAAUCAUCGUUAAUAAAAAUCCUGCUAGUGAUUUUUAUAAUUUCAUAGGUUAUUCUCUUGGAACCCUAAAUUCUGGGUUGUAUAUAGGUUAUGGAAUUGAAAUUCCAGAUGAAUUUGAUAAAAUUGUUUAGUUUUUUUUUAUAGUUUUUUUUUAUUUUUUAUAAUUUUUUUUAGAUGCAAUUGAUUUCAUUUGUGUUAUUUUGGAGGAUAUGCUGUGUUGAAACCCUAUUUUAUCGGUUGUUUUAAGUAAUUAUUUUCAAUUUCUAUAUGUAUCUUAUUUUCUUAGGGUUCAUAGAUACAAAAACUAAUUAGUUAACAUGUUAAUCAUGAUUUUACCAUGGUUUUGCAGUUUGUGAAACAUGUUGGUUGUAAUAUUUGAAGCAUUGACACCUUUGAAAAAUGUGUGACCGUGACCGAAAUCGAUAGUGACGGUUGUAAUUACGUUUAAUUUAUUGGUAUUUUCAAAUUAUUACCGGUGUCAACGUGUUAGUGUCGGUGUUGUGUUUUCGGUGUCCAUGCCUCAUAGGUCCUAAUAUUGUAUAAUAGGAACAAAAGUUAAGUAGUUAACGUGCUUAAUGCGCCAAUCGUGAUUUUAUUUUUAUGGUUUUGAAAUUGCUAAAACAUGGUUGUUACUUGUUAUGAUACUGUAUAAUGUUUACCUUGCUUAUUUUUUCAUUAUUGCUUAAUGUAGAUAUCCUCGAUGGUUAAAACCUUAAAAUCCAGGAAAUUAUUGGCUUGUUAAGGUUGUUAGUGAAACACUUUUUCCAUAUUUGUUAAAUACUCCUGCAGGUCUAACUUACUAAUAUUCUUUAUAGAAAAAAGUGUGUGUGUACUAUGUAUCUAUGUGCAUAUGUAUAUGUGUAUGAUUAAUGAGAGAAACACACACUAAAUUUUUGGACUCAAAUGUUGUUGCAGAAAAUGGAAUAUUGCAUGCUUCUGAUUUUCUAUUUCUUUUCAUCUCCUGAUAUGAUAGGUUCUAAUUGGUCAAAAACAUGUCUCAUCGCCAAGGAGGUGAUGCUGAAUAUUUUGCGGAUGAAUAUGAAAUGGAUGAUGUAGAAGAGGAUAUCGAUAUAGAUGGUGAAUCUAUUAAUAGAGAGGGAGGUGACGUUGACUCCGACGUUGAUGAAUAUGAUUACUCGGUUCGUAAUAUGCCGUUUCCUAAAUUUUUACAUUUUUUACUGUUAUGGAUAUGUUGUACACGAUGAUGUUUUAUUGUACAAUAACCCAUUUUCCAUUUAUGGGGGCGUCGACUUACUCUCCUAGUUAAAUAAAUAAUUCAUCAAGCAAAUGUAAAUUAUUGUAUCUUUCUACGAGUAACAUUAUUGUUAUGAUGGCAGAGUAGUAAAGCGGUAGACACUACAGCUGCUCAAGCUAGAAGAGGACAAGACAUCCAGGGGAUUCCGUGGGAUAGCCUUAGCAUCACCAGAGAAAGGUAUCGGCAAACGAGGCUUGAGCAAUACAAGAAUUAUGAAAAUAUCCCCCAAUCAGGGGAAAGGUCAGGGAAGGUAACAAUUUGAUGCAUUUUCUCUUUGAUAUUUCAGAGAAAAAACUUCAUAUAUGUCACCGGCCAUAACUAUGGCCAAUAUAAACCAUAGUCACAGAAUUCGCCACAGUACACAGAACUGCGGAUUGGUCCUCGAGUACCUGUUCCCGGUAUUUCUUUUUUGCGAUUUGGUUCACGCAAUUUCAUGAGAAAUUUGCAGGAAUCCGUGUACCAGAGAGGCAAAACCAUCUCUGGUUUAAUUGAGCAUUAUAAUACUAAGUAAAAUAAAAACCGGCUAAAGAAACCGUUGUUUAAAUACUGCACUGGCAAUGGGAAAUACUCAUCGCAUUAAAAAAGGGAGAUAUCACUGGCCUUCACAUGCGCCGCACCUUGCUGUACACUGGAGCGUUGGUCUAUACACUGUUUAUAUUUAGUUUACCUCUAUGUUUUCCAAGCUUCCGAUGUGGGACUAUAGUGCUAUCUCCUAAUGUCGGACUACUCCUAUAGCCCUAUCUCUCUAUGUUUGACAAGCCACAUACUUGGGUGCAUAUCCUCUAUUGGUGACUAUUGGACUAUCCUUUUUAAGGUGACUUUUGUUGGAAUCUGAUUUUUUAAACAAAUGUUAAUUACUCUUCUUGAUAAUAGAUGCUUAGAUCAUAGAUACUCAAAUAAUUAUUUUGACAAUAGGGAAUUAGUUCCUAAAAUGAAAUUGCAUUUUUUUUAAUACUAAAAAAUGCUACCGGUCUAUUAUAUUAUAAAUCACACAACUAUAUAACAUCUUAGUGCUCAGUUUUUUAACAAUAUAAAUUGUUUUUUGACGAUUUUAAUGAUAUUAAUUUAAUUUGAAUUACAAAAGAUGUAAUCUACAUAAAUGGUAAACUAAAAAUAUUUCUAAAACUUCCAUUUUCUUGAAAAUGCGAACUAUCAAUUUUUCAUUACUAUUAAAAUGUAUUUAUGGAUAGUUUGAGAUUCUUUUGUUUUUAUCAUUUUUCGUGUUGUUUUUAAAUUAGAUAUUUUUAAUUCACAGUGUACCGAUUAGUAUAUUAAAACAUAUUACAAACCGAAAUAGUGCACUGACUAUGUAUACCAUGUACCUAAUACUUUGAGGGUUGUGUACCACAUACCCAAAACCGUAACACGUACUGCAGAAAAUUGUGAACCAGGCGACUAUGAUAUAAAUAACACCAUGCUUACCUGUUCAUUAUUGUCUAUUACAAACAGGAUUGUAACAGUACAGACAAAGGAUACUCAUUUUAUGAGUUCAGGAGAAAUUCAAGAUCAGUAAAAUCAACAAUUCUUCAUUUUCAGGUAAGCUGUAGCCUGUAUCUACUCUGGUUUUUAUAAUGGAUUAAGGAUGCUCUAGGACAUUUUACUGCACAAUGGCUCUGUUUAACUGUUUUUUAUAAAUUAAAAGUUAGAUCAGCUUAUUACAAUAUGAAAUAUAUUAAACCAAUGGUCCAAACUUUAAGUCAAGUCUGAAAAGUGUUGGUACUUCAAUGCACCGUGUAUUGAAAUUGAUAGCAAGAGUAAAGGGAGAAGGAAGAGACUCUACAUCACUCUAUACCGAACGGCCACAUGAUAAAAUGCUCAUAAUCAUUGAAUAGGUUCAAAAAAUUAAAAAUAUGCAGGUAUCCAAUACCUGCAAUAUUUAUCUGGUGGCCAGUUUAAAAUACUCAGUUGCUGGUUUGAAUCAGUAUGUGGUAAGCAACUAAAUUUGGUAGAGAGAGCUCUGAGGUUUUCACAGCUGGAACAUGUGAUUUAUUAUAUAUUAUGUCAAAUUUUGUAGUCUGUUCAUAGGAUGCGAAGCUUGAGCAGUACCUUGGAUGCAAUAGGCUUCGAAGAGAUGUGAUCUCAUGUGGUUUGACUGAUAUUCCCUCCUUUUUUUUAUACUUAUGCAGUUGAGGAAUUUGGUUUGGGCUACAUCAAAGCAUGAUGUAUACCUUAUGUCUCAGUUCUCAGUAACACAUUGGUCUUCUUUGACUUGCACAAGGUCUGAAGUACUCAAUGUUUCAGGACAUGUUGCACCAUCAGAGGUGAAUAGUCCUUUAAAUAAUGUUUUUAAUUGGAUAGCCCUCUAAACCAUGUUGCACCGUCAUGUAGCACAAGGUCUAAAGAAUGGUUUGACUUCUGAUUGUUCAUUGCAUUAAUUUUGAGAAAAUAAUUGUCAAUCAUGUUUGUAAUCUUCCAUGUUAUCAUUUUUCCUUGUCAGAAACAUCCUGGAAGUCUAUUGGAAGGAUUCACACACACUCAAGUUAGUACACUUGCAGUAAAAGAUAAUCUUCUAGUUGCUGGAGGAUUUCAGGGUGAACUUAUUUGCAAGGUAAAUGUUAAUUUGCUUGUUAUUGAGGAAUACGAUUUUUUUAAAUCUGUUGCGAAUAGAGCAGUAAGUAUAAUUUGUAAUCCUGGACAUCCACAUUCUGAUCAUUCCGUGAAACGUUUAAACAAAAUUUAAAGAAUGCAAUGCACUGCUUUCGUAAGUUCAUACGCAACAUGCACAAGCAGACAUGUGAUUUAUAUGUGGUGAUGAAUAACUUUUUUAGGUAACAUUGUAAAGACUUAAAUAUAUUUUUUGUCUAUGUAAAAGAGACUGUUUUGGAAAGAUCUGCCCAAUUUUCUCAUUUUGUGGCUUCCUAAAUAUCUCAGUAAUUUAGUGUUUUUCAAAUUUUACAGACCAUGUGGAACCUAAGAACAAUUAAUGAGCAUUGUUUUAAUAAUUGGUGGAGUACUAGAGUGUUGCAACUCCUCUCUCCUUCAUUUUCCAGCCCUUUUUUAAAUUUCUUUUCAAGGAAUACUUGAAUUAUCAUUUUCAUUCAUGUUAAUCCUAAUUGGGCAUUUGCAUAUGCAUUCAGUUUGGUUUGCAUUGCUAUUAGAUUCUGCAUGUUUUUUAGUUAUAUUUGCAGAUGCUGUAGACGUGUCCCUCGGAAUUUGUUUUUGUUAUUAGAACCAUCAGCUGAUAUACUUUCAUCACUUUCUUUGUUACUGAAAUGCAGCACCUAGACCGACCUGGUGUCAGCUUUUGCUCAAGGACUACUUAUGAUGAUAACGCUAUCACCAAUGCCAUUGAGAUUUAUGCUUCUCCUAGGUAUUUAGUUUUCUUUCUAAUUGUUUUGUUAUUUUAAGAAUGGUUAUAGGUACCUGUGUUUUAAUACCAUUGGUUCCUGCUUUUUAGUGGGGCAGUUCAUUUCACAGCAUCAAAUAAUGAUUGUGGAAUCAGAAACUUUGAUAUGGAGAAGUUUCAACUCUCUAAGCAUUUUCGUUUUCCCUGGCCAGUGAAUGUGAGUCUCUUAGAUUAUGUUCUAAUCUUUUAGUUUCCUACCUCUCUUAAGAUGAUAAGUGAAUACUUUAAUUUUGUUCUUCAGAAGUUUUAUUGCCAUUUCUUUUUGCAUUAAUGAGCAAUUUUUGCAUUAUGACACAUUUGCUCUAUGGAUGAGUCGAUUGAUUUCCCACCCUAAUUUGACUUAUAAAGUUUAUUCUCGAAGUUCAACAAUUAGAAGAAAUAAUGAACAAAUUCGAGUGUCAAUAUGGGCCUUCAGCGACUAGCUAGAAUUGUUGAUAUCUUUCUGUUCUUGUGACAUUCCUUUGCUUUCUAUUUAUGUUCUCAUCUUUGUCCGUUUUUUCCCAUGCUGCAGCAUACUUCUCUCAGUCCAGAUGGUAAGCUACUUCUGAUUGUUGGAGACAAUCCUGAAAGCAUGUUGGUGGACUCUCAAAAUGGAAAGGUAGUACACUACGCCCGUUUCGGUCAAACAACCAAACACUUCUUCAGUUAGUUGCAUCCAAAGAGUACUAGUACAUGAUUGCAAAUCUUGCUAAUCCGAAUUUCCUUAUUUUGCAGACUAUUGCUCCAUUAUCUGGGCACUUAGAUUUUUCAUUUGCAUCAUCAUGGAAUCCUGAUGGCGUGACCUUUGCUACUGGAAACCAGGACAAAACCUGUAGGAUUUGGGACAUGCGAAACUUAUCCAAGUCAGUGGCAGUGUUGAAGGGAAAUCUCGGAGCUAUCCGUUCAAUCCGACAUUCUUCUGACGGCAAGUAUAUGGCUAUAGCCGAGCCUGCAGAUUUUGUCCAUGUAUAUGAUGUGAAAAGUGGGUAUGAGAAAGAACAGGAAAUCGAUUUCUUCGGUGAGAUAUCCGGCAUAUCUUUCAGUCCAGACACCGAAUCCCUUUUCAUCGGGGUUUGGGAUCGUACAUAUGGCAGCCUUCUUGAAUAUGGCCGACGUCAUAAUUACUCAUACGCUGACCUAAUGAUUUAGUCGAAUAUAUUCAAGACGAGGGAUAAAGUAACAUAAUAGACAGUGCACUUGAUCGAACAGCUUGCUUUAUGUAUCCUUUUGGGGUAGGUUGUUAAUGUAUAAAUUGAGUGUCCUGCAAGUUACCUCAAAUUUGUAGUUAUAGUAGGGCGUGUUUGUGUUUAUAAUGGUGUGUGUGUGUGGAAAGUGAGGUAGUAGGAGGCUAGAAGAAGAUGAUGGUGCAAACAGAUCUUGCUGAGUAUCAUCAUCAUCACUAUGUAAUGCAGUAGUUUUCUGUCUUGGAAAAACUCACUAUGGCAAUAACAUAUAUAUAUAUAUAUAUAUCUUGAUAUUUCUUGGUCCUAUUUGUCCAUUGAUUGUCUAGUUAGUGUUUGAGUGGAGCAUAGGUAGUAUGCAUCAUUCAAAGGAAAACUAAGUAGUUUGUUGUAUGAAGAUUUUAUGUUACAUUAGCCUUUUGUAUUUUGUUUAUCUUUGUCAAGUUUUUAUGUCCAUGUUGAUGUAUUACAAAACUUGAUGGAAUAUAUAAAUACUAAAAGAAUAGUAUUGAGAAACUAGGACUUACCUGGUUAACUUUUCCAUAAACAACUAUAAGCUUAUUAAACUUAUUUUCUAUCAAAAAGAAAAAUGUAAACUUAUUUCAAUUUUAAAAAUUAUCAUAACUUAAAAACUAAUUUAAAUUUAGUGAGCCAUGUACAAUCAAAUUAAGUUCAAGUUGCUGUAAUUUUAAGAUACUCAAUUUAAUAUUUAAUAAUAAAAAAAUAAAAAGAAGUUUUUUAUAAAUAAAAUAAUGGGUGAGUCCUAGUUUAAGUCACAAGUAUUUUUUACUUGUAAAUAAUAUAAACAGAUUUUUGCAUAAAGACAUUCUGUGUAGAUAUCAACAAUUAAAGACCACAGAGAAAAAUAAAAAAGAAAUCUAGAAUCCAAAACAAACCAAUAAAACCAAGCCAAGUCACUAGCUAAAAUCUUUAGUCCAUGGUCCAAAAUCACAAUCACAAAGCACCUUAUCUUUCUCUACCACCACAUCUUUUCAUACUAUAUCAUAUAAUUCCAUAACCAACCUUCUCUUCCAUUCCAUUCCAUUCACUCAUCAAACCAAAAACAAUGGCAGCAUCAGCAUCAUCCAUGAUCUCAACAAACGCCCUAACAUCCACACUCCAAAAACACCAAACACACAACCUCAAACCAUCAAACCUAUGUUUCCAAGGCUUCAAACCCUUAACAAGAUCAACAAAACUGACACAGAACAAAAAGAGAUUCUCAUCCCUUGUUGUCAAAGCUGAACUCAACCCUUCACUUGUGAUAAGCUUAAGCACUGGUCUGUCAUUGUUUUUAGGAAGGUUUGUGUUCUUCAACUUCCAAAGAGAGAAUGUUGCAAAACAAGGUUUACCUGAACAGAAUGGUGUGACACACUUUGAAGCUGGUGACUCACGUGCUAAGGAAUAUGUUAGCUUGCUUAAGUCAAAUGAUCCUGUCGGGUUUAACCUUGUUGAUGUUUUGGCUUGGGGUUCUAUAGGUCAUAUUGUUGCUUAUUAUAUCUUGGCCACUUCUAGCAAUGGUUAUGAUCCUAGUUUCUUUGGUUAAUUAAGAUUACUAUGUUGUUCGUUUAUGUUGUUUUAAUUUGUCUUUUCUUGUCCCUUUUAUGUUUAUUAAGAUGAUGAUGAUGAUGAUGAUGUAUAGUUUAUUUGUAUGAGAUAUUCAACAAGUUAAGUUC
Molecule: long non-coding RNA, 9571 nt
Filed under: Lathyrus oleraceus (garden pea)
Lineage: Eukaryota; Viridiplantae; Streptophyta; Magnoliopsida; Fabales; Fabaceae
Description: Pisum sativum (pea) long non-coding RNA (PSAT_LNC021971)
Source: RNAcentral